Epinephelus fuscoguttatus (brown-marbled grouper) is the source of this 197-nucleotide long non-coding RNA. RefSeq lists it as uncharacterized. The record is from RefSeq and is a predicted model, not a curated record. The transcript has 2 exons. NCBI's taxonomy places the organism in Eukaryota, Metazoa, Chordata, Actinopteri, Perciformes, Serranidae.
GUUUGUUUAGUGGGGAUGGUGGUGUUGCGUUUAAUCAGGGACGUCAUGACUCCUCCAGCUGUCUCAAUACCCAGGGACAGAGGCGCCACGUCCAGCAGCAGCAGGUCCUGGACGUUGCCCGAGGUAUCACCUGUGAGAAUGGCAGCCUGGACAGCAGCACCGUAUGCCACUGCCUCGUCUGGGUUGAUGCUCUUGUU